Telopea speciosissima is the source of this 116-nucleotide long non-coding RNA. RefSeq lists it as uncharacterized. NCBI's taxonomy places the organism in Eukaryota, Viridiplantae, Streptophyta, Magnoliopsida, Proteales, Proteaceae. The transcript has 3 exons. The record is from RefSeq and is a predicted model, not a curated record.
UUGUUGACUGGAGAAGUUGCACCAUUCCAUCUAAUUAACCAUUGGAAUAUAUUUCCUGCAAAUAAACUUUCUUCCAUGCUUAUUGUUAUCCUUUAUCUUCUGUAGUUCCCACCAUU